GACAGAGGGUGCAACCGUUGUUCGGAAUUACUGGGCGUAAAGCGUGUGUAGGCGGUCCUCUAAGUCGGGUGUGAAAGCCCAGGGCUCAACCCUGGAAGUGCACUCGAAACUGGAAGGCUAGAGUACCGGAGAGGUUGGUGGAAUUCUCGGUGUAGAGGUGAAAUUCGUAGAUAUCGAGAGGAACACCGGUGGCGAAGGCGGCCAACUGGACGAGUACUGACGCUGAGGCGCGAAAGCGUGGGGAGCAAACAGG
Molecule: ribosomal RNA, 253 nt
Filed under: uncultured bacterium
Lineage: Bacteria
Description: partial 16S ribosomal RNA
Rfam family: Bacterial small subunit ribosomal RNA
Source: RNAcentral